GAUGAACGCUGGCGGCGUGCCUAAUACAUGCCAGUCGAGCGAACAGAUGGGGAGCUUGCUCCUCUGACGUUAGCGGCGGACGGGUGAGUAACACGUGGAUAACCUACCUAUAAGACUGGGAUAACUUCGGGAAUCCGGAGCUAAUACCGGAUAAUAUAUUGAACCGCAUGGUUCAAUAGUGAAAGACGGUUUUGCUGUCACUUAUAGAUGGAUCCGCGCCGCAUUAGCUAGUUGGUAAGGUAACGGCUUACCAAGGCAACGAUGCGUAGCCGACCUGAGAGGGUGAUCGGCCACACUGGAACUGAGACACGGUCCAGACUCCUACGGGAGGCAGCAGUAGGGAAUCUUCCGCAAUGGGCGAAAGCCUGACGGAGCAACGCCGCGUGAGUGAUGAAGGUCUUCGGAUCGUAAAACUCUGUUAUUAGGGAAGAACAAAUGUGUAAGUAACUAUGCACGUCUUGACGGUACCUAAUCAGAAAGCCACGGCUAACUACGUG
Molecule: ribosomal RNA, 497 nt
Filed under: uncultured bacterium
Lineage: Bacteria
Description: partial 16S ribosomal RNA
Rfam family: Bacterial small subunit ribosomal RNA
Source: RNAcentral